RNAcentral lists this long non-coding RNA (253 nucleotides) under Gopherus agassizii (Agassiz's desert tortoise). Its description in RNAcentral is "lncRNA (ENSGAGG00000002238.1)". The record is from RNAcentral. Lineage: Eukaryota; Metazoa; Chordata; Testudines; Testudinidae.
UAAACAAUAAUUUUAUUUUAUUUGCAGCUAAACAAUGAUUUUGGCAGAAUUCUUAUUUGGAACCAAGUGUCAAAGUUCACAAUGAAAAGCGAAAGCAGAAAGUAGAGUGAUAAAACAACUUACUUUCAAACUGAAAAUAUCUCAUGCUGUCAUAAACAUGGUGAGCUGAAGCACAGCUCAAGCCCGGACCCAGCCAGCUGGGCGCCCCAACUCUGGCCCCGGCUGAGCACCCUGGCUCUGGUCCCAACUCUGG